RNAcentral lists this ribosomal RNA (795 nucleotides) under uncultured eukaryote. RNAcentral describes it as "SSU rRNA". It matches the Rfam family "Eukaryotic small subunit ribosomal RNA", at positions 612 to 1430 of the family's 1831-position model. The record is from RNAcentral.
GUUGCGGUUAAAAAGCUCGUAGUUGGAUUUCUGCGCGAAACGAACGGUCUACCUUAUGGGUUAGUAUCUGUCAGGUUCGCGCAUCCUCAUGAAGAACGUCGCUGCGAUUUAUUUCGUGGUACGGAAUUCAUGACUUUUACUUUGAGGAAAUUAGAGUGUUCACGGCAGGCAAACGUCUUGAAUAUGUUAGCAUGGAAUAAUAAUAUAGGACCUUGGUACUAUUUUGUUGGUUUCUAGAACUAAGGUAAUGAUUAAUAGGGACAGUUUGGGGGCAUUUGUAUUAACACGUCAGAGGUGGAAUUCUUGGAUUGUGUUACGACAAACUACUGCGAAAGCAUUUGCCAAGGAUGUUUUCAUUGAUCAAGAACGAAAGUAUGGGGAUCGAAAACGAUUAGAUACCGUUGUAGUCUAUACCAUAAACUAUGCCAACUAGAAAUCGGAGGGAUGUAAAAUUUUUGACUCCUUCGGCGUCUUAUGAGAAAUCAAAGUUUUUGGGUUCCGGGGGGAGUAUGGUCGCAAGGCUGAAACUUAAAGGAAUUGACGGAAGGGCACCACCAGGAGUGGAGCCUGCGGCUUAAUUUGACUCAACACGGGAAGACUUACCAGGUCCAGACAUAAGAAGGAUUGACAGAUUGAUAGCUCUUUCUUGAUUUUAUGGGUGGUGGUGCAUGGCCGUUCUUAGUUGGUGGAGUGAUUUGUCUGCUUAAUUGCGUUAACGAACGAGACCUUAAUCUGCUAAAUAGCCUAGCGUUACUCCGGUAAUACUACUGGCUUCUUAGAGAGACUUUCAGCUUC